Oryctolagus cuniculus (rabbit) is the source of this 582-nucleotide non-coding RNA. The record is from the annotation of a RefSeq genome assembly. Lineage: Eukaryota; Metazoa; Chordata; Mammalia; Lagomorpha; Leporidae.
ACCCCAUGCAGGAGGCAGUGCCAGGCAGGACCCAGCAUGGACAUGAGGGCCCCCACUCAGCUGCUGGGGCUCCUGCUGCUCUGGCUCCCAGGUGCCAGAUGUGAUGUUGUGAUGACCCAGACUCCAGCCUCCGUGGAGGCAGCUGUGGGAGGCACAGUCACCAUCAAGUGCCAGGCCAGUCAGAGCAUUAGUAGUUACUUAUCCUGGUAUCAGCAGAAACCAGGGCAGCCUCCCAAGCUCCUGAUCUACAGGGCAUCCACUCUGGAAUCUGGGGUCCCAUCGCGGUUCAAAGGCAGUGGAUCUGGGACAGAGUUCACUCUCACCAUCAGCGACCUGGAGUGUGCCGAUGCUGCCACUUACUACUGUCAAAGCUAUUAUUAUAGUAGUAGUAGUAGUUAUGGUUCCACAGUGAUACAAGCCCUAACAAAAACCUCCCAGGAAAGCAGAAGUGUGAGGCUGGGCUGCCCCAGCUGCUCGUCCUGGCCCCAUCUGCUGAGAGUGAUUCUCAGAGCAGCCAGGCUUGAAGGUCCUGCAGGGUCGGGUGGAAGGGGCCAGGUGACUCUCUGAGGCUCCCUCCUUUCC